RNAcentral lists this ribosomal RNA (467 nucleotides) under uncultured bacterium. RNAcentral describes it as "partial 16S ribosomal RNA". It matches the Rfam family "Bacterial small subunit ribosomal RNA", at positions 28 to 507 of the family's 1533-position model. The record is from RNAcentral.
GAUGAACGCUGGCGGCGUGCUUAACACAUGCAAGUCGAACGGAAAGGCCCAAGCUUGCUUGGGUACUCGAGUGGCGAACGGGUGAGUAACACGUGGGUGAUCUGCCCUGCACUUCGGGAUAAGCCUGGGAAACUGGGUCUAAUACCGGAUAGGACCACUUCUUGGAUGUUGUGGUGGAAAGUUUUUUCGGUGUGGGAUGAGCUCGCGGCCUAUCAGCUUGUUGGUGGGGUAAUGGCCUACCAAGGCGUCGACGGGUAGCCGGCCUGAGAGGGUGUACGGCCACAGUGGGACUGAGAUACGGCCCAGACUCCUACGGGAGGCAGCAGUGGGGAAUAUUGCACAAGGGGCGCAAGCCUGAUGCAGCGACGCCGCGUGGGGGAUGACGGCCUUCGGGUUGUAAACUCCUUUCGCUAGGGACGAAGCGUUUUGUGACGGUACCUGGAGAAGAAGCACCGGCUAACUACGUG